UGGGGAAUAUUGGACAAUGGGCGAAAGCCUGAUCCAGCAAUGCCGCGUGAGGGAUGACGGCCUUCGGGUUGUAAACCUCUUUCAGCAGGGAAGAAGCGCAAGUGACGGUACCUGCAGAAGAAGCACCGGCUAACUACGUGCCAGCAGCCGCGGUAAUACGUAGGGUGCGAGCGUUGUCCGGAAUUAUUGGGCGUAAAGAGCUUGUAGGUGGUUUGUCGCGUCUGCUGUGAAAAUCCGAGGCUCAACCUCGGACUUGCAGUGGGUACGGGCAGACUAGAGUGUGGUAGGGGAGACUGGAAUUCCUGGUGUAGCGGUGGAAUGCGCAGAUAUCAGGAGGAACACCGAUGGCGAAGGCAGGUCUCUGGGCCAUUACUGACACUGAGAAGCGAAAGCAUGGGGAGCGAACA
RNAcentral lists this ribosomal RNA (407 nucleotides) under uncultured Terracoccus sp. RNAcentral's name for it is "bacterial SSU rRNA". It matches the Rfam family "Bacterial small subunit ribosomal RNA", at positions 355 to 774 of the family's 1533-position model. The record is from RNAcentral. Lineage: Bacteria; Bacillati; Actinomycetota; Actinomycetes; Micrococcales; Intrasporangiaceae.